GACGAACGCUGGCGGCGUGCCUAAUACAUGCAAGUCGAGCGGACCGGAUUGGGGCUUGCCUUGAUUCGGUCAGCGGCGGACGGGUGAGUAACACGUGGGCAACCUGCCCGCAAGACCGGGAUAACUCCGGGAAACCGGAGCUAAUACCGGAUAACACCGAAGACCGCAUGGUCUUCGGUUGAAAGGCGGCCUUUGGGCUGUCACUUGCGGAUGGGCCCGCGGCGCAUUAGCUAGUUGGUGAGGUAACGGCUCACCAAGGCGACGAUGCGUAGCCGGCCUGGGAGGGUGACCGGCCACACUGGGACUGAGACACGGCCCAGACUCCUACGGGAGGCAGCAGUAGGGAAUCUUCCGCAAUGGGCGAAAGCCUGACGGAGCGACGCCGCGUGAGCGAAGAAGGCCUUCGGGUCGUAAAGCUCUGUUGUGAGGGACGAAGGAGCGUCGUUCGAAGAGGGCGGCGCGGUGACGGUACCUCACGAGAAAGCCCCGGCUAACUACGUG
This 501-nucleotide ribosomal RNA is filed under the name uncultured bacterium. Its description in RNAcentral is "partial 16S ribosomal RNA". It matches the Rfam family "Bacterial small subunit ribosomal RNA", at positions 28 to 507 of the family's 1533-position model. The record is from RNAcentral.